CCUACGGGUGGCUGCAGUGGGGAAUAUUGGACAAUGGGCGAAAGCCUGAUCCAGCCAUGCCGCGUGUGUGAAGAAGGCCUUCGGGUUGUAAAGCACUUUCAGUGGGGAAGAAAGCCUUGGGGCUAAUACCCUCGAGGAAGGACAUCACCCACAGAAGAAGCACCGGCUAACUCCGUGUCAGCAGCCGCGGUAAUACGGAGGGUGCGAGCGUUAAUCGGAAUUACUGGGCGUAAAGCGCGCGUAGGCGGUCUGAUAAGCCGGUUGUGAAAGCCCCGGGCUCAACCUGGGAACGGCAUCCGGAACUGUCAGGCUAGAGUGCAGGAGAGGAAGGUAGAAUUCCCGGUGUAGCGGUGAAAUGCGUAGAGAUCGGGAGGAAUACCAGUGGCGAAGGCGGCCUUCUGGACUGACACUGACGCUGAGGUGCGAAAGCGUGGGUAGCAAACAGGAUUAGAUACCCUUGUAGUC
RNAcentral lists this ribosomal RNA (465 nucleotides) under Vreelandella stevensii. RNAcentral describes it as "partial 16S ribosomal RNA". It matches the Rfam family "Bacterial small subunit ribosomal RNA", at positions 338 to 795 of the family's 1533-position model. Lineage: Bacteria; Pseudomonadati; Pseudomonadota; Gammaproteobacteria; Oceanospirillales; Halomonadaceae. The record is from RNAcentral.